GCACAGAUCAUAGACAAGGCACAGUUGCUUCAUCCUUACAGACGAGAUGAUUAGCUAAGAUCUGUCAUUUCACUUACAGGCAGAUUGAGCUAAAUGUCCUCAAGGCAGUGAAGAAAUAGGCACCAUCUAAUUAAUUUUAUCGUGUCGGCAAUCAUGCUAAUGAUAAGAAUUCUCCUUCAGCCCCCAAAAUUCUGGUUUCGGUGUCCAACAAGGAUAUUUGCCAAUUCUCCUUUUUGCUCUGUACUCUGUGGAUGUGGCCUUGAUCCUGGAGAGCAAUGGUACAGAGCAAUGGAGCGAGGCGAGCCAGGAAGGAUAGCAGCCGCCAGACGUUGGAAGUUGCAGCGAAGGAUCCUUCUCUAGAGUUGUGCACGGGGGCAUGGCCCUGCCAACAUCUUGCUGUGGACUCCUGGACUCCAGAAUGCCAGAAGUGGUCAGAACUGAAAGUGCUGGCAGCCAGGAGUGAGGCUGACCUCUCCGUGGCAGAGCGUCCCACCUCAGACUGGCCAGGGUGAGACUUGGGUGCUGGCUCAGCUGGUGACAGCCCAAAUGUCGUAGCAUAUUCAACAAGAAUGGAUGGGCACUUUUUAUAUGCCAGGAAAAUGGAAAUUGUUCUGGGAAAUGGAGAUUCAAAGAUGGUGAAGACAUGGCCAUCCCUGAUGUCUCAGGACCAUCAGAACUGAAGCCAAAAAGAAUACAUAAUCAAAUAAGGUAUCCCAAUAUGAAGACUUAAAGCAAGGCUUUAUAGUAAAAUUGCAUGUCUUUAAACAGAGAGGAAUGAAUAGUUCUAGGUUAGGGAAGGUGUUGGGGGCAAGCUUCAAGAGCUUCAUUUAAACUCGAAGAAGUGUGUAACCUGGAUAAAUCUUGACAUC
Long non-coding RNA from Manis pentadactyla (Chinese pangolin), 869 nucleotides. RefSeq lists it as uncharacterized. Lineage: Eukaryota; Metazoa; Chordata; Mammalia; Pholidota; Manidae. The transcript has 3 exons. The record is from RefSeq and is a predicted model, not a curated record.